CCUACGGGGGGCAGCAGUGGGGGAUAUUGGGCAAUGGGCGCAAGCCUGACCCAGCAACGCCGCGUGAAGGAAGAAGGCUUUCGGGUUGUAAACUUCUUUUCUCAGGGACGAAGCAAGUGACGGUACCUGAAGAAUAAGCCACGGCUAACUACGUGCCAGCAGCCGCGGUAAUACGUAGGUGGCAAGCGUUAUCCGGAUUUACUGGGUGUAGAGGGCGUGUAGGCGGGACUGCAAGUCAGAUGUGAAAACCAUGGGCUCAACCUAUGGCCUGCAUUUGAAACUGUAGUUCUUGAGUACUGGAGAGGCAGACGGAAUUCCGAGUGUAGCGGUGAAAUGCGUAGAUAUUAGGAGGAACACCAGUGGCGAAGGCGGUCUGCUGGACAGCAACUGACGUUGAAGCACGAAGGCGUGGGUAUCGAACAGGAUUAGAUACCCGUGUAGUC
This 443-nucleotide ribosomal RNA is filed under the name uncultured bacterium. RNAcentral's name for it is "partial 16S ribosomal RNA". It matches the Rfam family "Bacterial small subunit ribosomal RNA", at positions 338 to 795 of the family's 1533-position model. The record is from RNAcentral.